Molecule: ribosomal RNA, 465 nt
Filed under: uncultured bacterium
Lineage: Bacteria
Description: partial 16S ribosomal RNA
Rfam family: Bacterial small subunit ribosomal RNA
Source: RNAcentral
GACGAACGCUGGCGGCGUGCUUAACACAUGCAAGUCGAACGGAAAGGCCCUGCUUGCAGGGUACUCGAGUGGCGAGCGGGUGAGUAACACGUGGGUGAUCUGCCCUGCACUUCGGGAUAAGCCUGGGAAACUGGGUCUAAUACCGGAUAGGAGCCAUUUUUAGUGUGAUGGUUGGAAAGUUUUUUCGGUGUAGGAUGAGCUCGCGGCCUAUCAGCUUGUUGGUGGGGUAAUGGCCUACCAAGGCGGCGACGGGUAGCCGGCCUGAGAGGGUGGACGGCCACAUUGGGACUGAGAUACGGCCCAGACUCCUGCGGGAGGCAGCAGUGGGGAAUAUUGCACAAUGGGCGCAAGCCUGAUGCAGCGACGCCGCGUGGGGGAUGACGGCCUUCGGGUUGUAAACUCCUUUCGCUAGGGACGAAGCUUUUUGUGACGGUACCUAGAUAAGAAGCACCGGCUAACUACGUG